UGGGGAAUUUUGGACAAUGGGGGCAACCCUGAUCCAGCAAUGCCGCGUGUGUGAAGAAGGCCUUCGGGUUGUAAAGCACUUUUGUCCGGAAAGAAAACGCCGUGGUUAAUACCCGUGGCGGAUGACGGUACCGGAAGAAUAAGCACCGGCUAACUACGUGCCAGCAGCCGCGGUAAUACGUAGGGUGCAAGCGUUAAUCGGAAUUACUGGGCGUAAAGCGUGCGCAGGCGGUCCGCUAAGACAGAUGUGAAAUCCCCGGGCUUAACCUGGGAACUGCAUUUGUGACUGGCAGGCUAGAGUAUGGCAGAGGGGGGUAGAAUUCCACUGUAGCAGUGAAAUGCGUAGAGAUGUGGAGGAAUACCGAUGGCGAAGGCAGCCCCCUGGGCCAAUACUGACGCUCAUGCACGAAAGCGUGGGGAGCAAACAGGAUUAGAUACCCUGGUAGUCCACGCCCUAAAACGAUGUCAACUAGUUGUUGGGGAUUCAUUUCCUUAGUAACGUAGCUAACGCGUGAAGUUGACCGCCUGGGGAGUACGGUCGCAAGAUUAAAACUUAAAUGAAUUGACGGGGUCAUAGCUGUUUCCU
This 585-nucleotide ribosomal RNA is filed under the name uncultured bacterium. RNAcentral's name for it is "partial 16S ribosomal RNA". It matches the Rfam family "Bacterial small subunit ribosomal RNA", at positions 355 to 1375 of the family's 1533-position model. The record is from RNAcentral.